UACGUAGGCAGCGAGCGUUGUUCGGAGUUACUGGGCGUAAAGGGUGCGUAGGCGGCCUUUUAAGUUUGGUGUGAAAUCUCCCGGCUCAACCGGGAGGGUGCGCCGGAUACUGAGGGGCUAGAGUGCGGGAGAGGAAAGUGGAAUUCCUGGUGUAGCGGUGAAAUGCGUAGAUAUCAGGAGGAACACCUGCGGUGUAAACGGCUUUCUGGACCGUAACUGACGCUGAGGCACGAAAGCGUGGGUAGCAAAC
This 250-nucleotide ribosomal RNA is filed under the name uncultured bacterium. RNAcentral describes it as "partial 16S ribosomal RNA". It matches the Rfam family "Bacterial small subunit ribosomal RNA", at positions 524 to 773 of the family's 1533-position model. The record is from RNAcentral.